GCGGCGUGCUUACACAUGCAAGUCGAACGAGGAACGGAGUGCUUGCACUCUGUAUCCGAGUGGCGAACGGGUGAGUAACACGUGACCAACCUGUCUUCAGGCGAGGGAUAACCUGGGGAAACCCGGACUAAUACCGCAUGAUGUCUCUUUCUCGCAUGAGGUUGAGACCAUAGGGGGCCUCUGCUUGCAAGCUCCCGCCUGAUGAGGGGGUCGCGGCGUAUCAGCUAGUUGGUGAGGUAACGGCUCACCAAGGCGAUGACGCGUAGCGGGUCUGAGAGGACGAUCCGCCACAUUGGGACUGAGAUACGGCCCAGACUCCUACGGGAGGCAGCAGUGGGGAAUAUUGCGCAAUGGCCGCAAGGCUGACGCAGCGACGCCGCGUGUGGGGGGAAGCCUUUCGGGGUGUAAACCACUGUCAGUGGGGAAGAAUUCUGACGGUACCCAAGGAAUAAGCAUCGGCUAACUCCGUGCCAGCAGCCGCGGUAAGACGUAGGGGGCGAGCGUUGUCCGGAAUUACUGGGCGUAAAGGGCGUGUAGGCGGUCUUUAAAGUCAGCUGUGAAAUUCCCCGGCUCAACCGGGGGUCUGCAGUUGAAACUUAAAGGCUUGAGUGCAGGAGAGGAGGGUGGAAUUCCCGGUGUAGCGGUGAAAUGCGCAGAUAUCAGGAGGAACACCAGUGGCGAAGGCGCUCUACUGGGCCACAACUGACGCUGAGGGACGAAAGCUAGGGGAGCGAAAGGGAUUAGAUACCCCUGU
Molecule: ribosomal RNA, 754 nt
Filed under: uncultured bacterium
Lineage: Bacteria
Description: bacterial SSU rRNA
Rfam family: Bacterial small subunit ribosomal RNA
Source: RNAcentral